Molecule: ribosomal RNA, 495 nt
Filed under: Scutellospora deformata
Lineage: Eukaryota; Fungi; Glomeromycota; Glomeromycetes; Diversisporales; Gigasporaceae
Description: Scutellospora sp. AG-2021a partial large subunit ribosomal RNA
Rfam family: Eukaryotic large subunit ribosomal RNA
Source: RNAcentral
GGAAGAGCACAAAUUUUAAAUCUAUCUGGUUCUACCAGGUCGAGUUGUAAUUUGAAGAAACGUUUUUAAUGUUCCGGGUUGGUUUAAAUCCUUUGGGAUAAGGUAUCAUGGAGGGUGAGAAUCCCGUGUAUAUCAACCGCUGGGAUGUUAUUAAUACGUUCUCUAAGAGUCGAGUUGUUUGGGAAUGCAGCUCUAAAUGGGUGGUAAAUUUCACCUAAUGCUAAAUAUAAGCGAGAGACCGAUAGCGAACAAGUACCGUGAGGGAAAGAUGAAAAGAACUUUGAAAAGAGAGUUAAAUAGUACGUGAAAUUGUUGAAAGGGAAACGAUUGAAGUCAGUCAUGCCGGUGAGAAUCAACUUUGGGGAAGGGGGAUUUUUUUGAACCUAACCUUGAAGUGCACUUCUUCGCUUGGCAGGUUAGCGUCGAUUUUAAACGUCAUAAAAUGAUUGGGGGAAGGUAGCUCUUUCGGGAGUGUUAUAGCCCUUAAUUAAUGUG